UAAACACUAGUGCAAUAGUUAUGGAGCUCUAUGACAUUGUUGUGGUCUAGUUCAGCCACCUCGUUCAUCACCCCUUUAAACCAUUCGAAGGACCCUUGCUCCCUUGUCACCCAAUAAAAAUAUGCCCUGCUUGUCUUGAAGUUUUCUUUUCGUUUUAGUGUAUUAGGACUAAGUGUUCGUGGCAAUGUACCAUUUUCUAGUGCACCCUCUCCUUCUUCUUCCAUGUCCCUGAUGUUGCUCACUAUAUCCUUGACAAUGCUUAUCAUUGGGGUUGCUCCAAUUCCUAGACCCACAAGCAGAACCACGUCAUAUUUCUUGUAGUCCUGUGCUGGUGCUCCAUAUGGACCAUCAAUCAAA
Molecule: unclassified non-coding RNA, 357 nt
Filed under: Hevea brasiliensis (rubber tree)
Lineage: Eukaryota; Viridiplantae; Streptophyta; Magnoliopsida; Malpighiales; Euphorbiaceae
Source: RNAcentral